CGCAAACCGACGUUCAUUUACUUAACAAUGUUUUGAUAUGAUAGGCCGGUUUAGCAUUGGACAUAAAACCCAAUUGUUGGUUUCAACUUUCAAGUUUCAACAGGUGGUAAAAGAAGGAAGAGACAGCAUCAUUAUAAUUUAGAGUUCCAAAAGCAAAGCCAUAAACCUCUUCCUGCUAAUAGCAAUUUCCAGGUCUCUGCGCUGGGCUCCUCUCUGAUUAACCGAAUCAUUUUUUAUCUCAUUCAUCGCCAUGGAUAUUGAAGAAGACAUCAAGGCGUUGCAGCUUGAAUCAUCUGAAGAUUGUGUGAUGACUAAUGCUGAAGAGGGAAACCUGAUGAAGCCCUAAAACCUGAAAAAAUUGAUGGAGACGAUAGUGUGAUGUCAGAAGAAUGCAAGCCAGAUGAUGUUGAAAAACCUAAUUAUAUGGAAGAUGGUAGGUAGAUCGAUGAACAGGUUAUGUAUAAUCUAUUUCUUUUCCGAGUUUUCUCUUUCUUUUAAUUUCUAAUUCUCGACUCAUCUGCUUAACUGCUGAUUCUGUACCAUUGAAACUUUUUGUUUAUUCGUAGGAUUGAUUGCAUUUGAAAUCUCUUUGAAUUGUUUUAUUUUCAUUUAAUUUUUUUUUGGGAAGGGCAUGUGCUCAUGAAUAGGGGAAAGGGGAAGGAAGAAGAGGGAAGAACUUUGAUGAGAUUUGUACAUGCAUCUAAGAGUGGUGCAUGGCGGAAUUUAAACUAUUAGGCUGCAACUCCAACCUCAUUGUGGAAGCUGGGGUGUCUACUCCACAUAUUUCCUAUAAGUUCUCCCUUUAAAGCUACUUUUGCUGGUAUCAUAAGCCUGUGAAAUUUACACUGUGCAUCUGGUACUUAUUUUGUCUUUUGAAUUCCUUCUCACUUAUUUUCGUCCAUACCUUAGUGCGCAGUCCAUUCAAGGAUGCUAAGAAGUGCUAGUGCCUCUUAUUUCUGAAUCCCUUACACUAGCCAGAAGCUCUUGCUACAGAAAAGUUACGAUAGUUAGCAAUGACCUUAAUAUAUAUGAUAGGGCUCCGGGCAGUUAUUUUUUCUGUAAAGCAUUAUCAUGUCUGUUUUGUGCCAAAUUGGAUGAGUUUGAACUCUCAACUUUACCGUGAAGAGUCUGAUUUGAAAAAAGAUGAUAAACGUUGGAUUUCACUUGGAGGUUUAGUGUUGCAAUAAGUGGCAUUGAGCUUCCUGUUCGAAGCUCACUUAAAUUGGGUUGAUGUUGUGAGGUGAAGAAUUUUGUUCUAAGUAAAGCGGGUGCUUAGUGGUUCAAAUAGGCAGAUACUGCUGAGAGCCUGAGACAGUAGUGGAUCCCGUCCCAAGAGGAUUUUUGUUGUCAAAUCCCUUUAGGCCCCAAAAUCCGAGUGAAUAGCGAGUCAGCGAACAACCAUCUGGUAAGAGGCUCUCUCUCUCCUAAACCUUCUUUACUUCUGUUACAACAACAACAACAACAACCCAGUAAAAUCUCACUAAUGAGGUUUGGGGAGGGUAGU
Non-coding RNA from Nicotiana tabacum (common tobacco), 1504 nucleotides. Lineage: Eukaryota; Viridiplantae; Streptophyta; Magnoliopsida; Solanales; Solanaceae. The record is from RefSeq and is a predicted model, not a curated record.